RNAcentral lists this ribosomal RNA (502 nucleotides) under uncultured bacterium. RNAcentral's name for it is "partial 16S ribosomal RNA". It matches the Rfam family "Bacterial small subunit ribosomal RNA", at positions 30 to 523 of the family's 1533-position model. The record is from RNAcentral.
AUUGAACGCUGGCGGCAGGCUUAACACAUGCAAGUCGAGCGGGGUGAUGGUGCUUGCACUAUCACUUAGCGGCGGACGGGUGAGUAAUGCUUAGGAAUCUGCCUAUUAGUGGGGGACAACAUCUCGAAAGGGAUGCUAAUACCGCAUACGUCCUACGGGAGAAAGCAGGGGAUCUUUAUGACCUUGCGCUAAUAGAUGGGCCUAAGUCGGAUUAGCUAGUUGGUGGGGUAAAGGCCUACCAAGGCGACGAUCUGUAGCGGGUCUGAGAGGAUGAUCCGCCACACUGGGACUGAGACACGGCCCAGACUCCUACGGGAGGCAGCAGUGGGGAAUAUUGGACAAUGGGGGGAACCCUGAUCCAGCCAUGCCGCGUGUGUGAAGAAGGCCUUAUGGUUGUAAAGCACUUUAAGCGAGGAGGAGGCUCUUUUGGUUAAUACCCAGAAUGAGUGGACGUUACUCGCAGAAUAAGCACCGGCUAACUCUGUGUCAGUAGCCGCCGUAA